AUGCUACCUGCACUGUGUCCCACACUUGCAAACGCUGGAGCUACCUGGGGUCGGCCGGGGAAUGUCUGCUGCCACAUUAGUGAUGUGAUAAUGGGCUUCACAUAUCACCUGGACAUUAAUAGAGGGAAACCACUCACUGCUUCUGAAAGCAGCUUUGUUCUCAGCUGGUGUCCUGGAGGCACUGUCCAAGACCUGGCUAGAUAUAUCAGGAAGCCUGUUAUUCCUGAGGUUACAACGGUAGUCUCCAGUGCCCUGCAAACCCUCAAUGAAAGACACAGCCUGCUUUCAAAGAAUUAAAACGGCUCAACUUCAAAGAGCGGCGUUGCUUAGAGUCACCUGGUGCCACUGUCUCGGUGCCUCCUGUCUGGAGAGAGUCUGGGAGCCGCUGCUUACCACCAUCUCCUGCCCUCCUAACCCGUCGCUGGUUACAUUACGGUAGGAAAGUUUUAUGUGUAUAAUUUGUGAAGUUCCCUUAAGCAGACAGUGCUAUAUAAAUGUGAAAAGCUGUUAUUAAUAAUAAAGGUUGGCACACCUAAGAAUACUGUAGAAUUAAAGUAAUGAGAUUCUAUUUUUAGGCAGACUUGCCAAUAACAUGCAAGUAUGAUAAGGCUGUGAUUUAAAGCUCACUUUAACCUUCCCUUGCUCUAAAGAGUACAUUUUCUGGGCCGCCUACACAGCAGUCAGCCGCCCUGAGCUCUAUUAACGCUAAUGGUGG
RNAcentral lists this long non-coding RNA (715 nucleotides) under Bos grunniens (domestic yak). RNAcentral's name for it is "lncRNA (ENSBGRG00000017638.1)". The record is from RNAcentral. Lineage: Eukaryota; Metazoa; Chordata; Mammalia; Artiodactyla; Bovidae.